This 517-nucleotide ribosomal RNA is filed under the name uncultured bacterium. RNAcentral's name for it is "bacterial SSU rRNA". It matches the Rfam family "Bacterial small subunit ribosomal RNA", at positions 501 to 1016 of the family's 1533-position model. The record is from RNAcentral.
CUACGUGCCAGCAGCCGCGGUAAUACGUAGGUCCCGAGCGUUGUCCGGAUUUAUUGGGCGUAAAGCGAGCGCAGGCGGUUAGAUAAGUCUGAAGUUAAAGGCUGUGGCUUAACCAUAGUACGCUUUGGAAACUGUUUAACUUGAGUGCAAGAGGGGAGAGUGGAAUUCCAUGUGUAGCGGUGAAAUGCGUAGAUAUAUGGAGGAACACCGGUGGCGAAAGCGGCUCUCUGGCUUGUAACUGACGCUGAGGCUCGAAAGCGUGGGGAGCAAACAGGAUUAGAUACCCUGGUAGUCCACGCCGUAAACGAUGAGUGCUAGGUGUUAGACCCUUUCCGGGGUUUAGUGCCGUAGCUAACGCAUUAAGCACUCCGCCUGGGGAGUACGACCGCAAGGUUGAAACUCAAAGGAAUUGACGGGGGCCCGCACAAGCGGAGGAACAUGUGGUUUAAUUCGAAGCAACGCGAAGAACCUUACCAGGUCUUGACAUCCCUCUGACCGCUCUAGAAAUAGAGUUUUC